AGAACGGUAGUUCAAUGGAAGAAUAUCUGCCUGUCACGCAGGGGGUUGUGAGUUCGAAUCUCACCCGUUCUU
Molecule: transfer RNA, 72 nt
Filed under: Dokdonia pacifica
Lineage: Bacteria; Pseudomonadati; Bacteroidota; Flavobacteriia; Flavobacteriales; Flavobacteriaceae
Rfam family: tRNA
About the family: Transfer RNA (tRNA) molecules are approximately 80 nucleotides in length. Their secondary structure includes four short double-helical elements and three loops (D, anti-codon, and T loops). Further hydrogen bonds mediate the characteristic L-shaped molecular structure. tRNAs have two regions of fundamental functional importance: the anti-codon, which is responsible for specific mRNA codon recognition, and the 3' end, to which the tRNAs corresponding amino acid is attached (by aminoacyl-tRNA synthetases). tRNAs cope with the degeneracy of the genetic code in two manners: having more than one tRNA (with a specific anti-codon) for a particular amino acid; and 'wobble' base-pairing, i.e. permitting non-standard base-pairing at the 3rd anti-codon position.
Source: Rfam by way of RNAcentral